UAAAAAAUACUUAUCUAUGGUAUAGUUUUCCCGAAUCUAGAAGAGCUACCUUAAUAUUCUUUUGUUGUAGCAUAACCAUUGGUAAUAUUGGGGUUGAAAUGAAACGUUAUUCGUUUCUGGAUAUAUCUGGUUUUCUAAGAAACAAAUUUAAUUUGGCUAAUUUUAAAUUUUUAAUCUAUUUGGGUGAUUAAAUGUUUUGAAUUAUCUAAUGGCUUGGGGGAUGAGCUUUAGGCUUUAAUUUUAAAAGUUUAAUUUUAAUAGUAAGGUUAGUAGGAUUGGAAGUUUCUAUCUGGGGAGAAUGUUAUAUUUGACGUUAAUUUAUUAUAUUAUUUUUAUUUUCUUUAAAUUUUUUAUUAGAAUUUAAUUUUUAAUUUUGAUUGGUUAGUAAUUAUGAUUGAAUUAGUAUAUGUUUUUGUUCAAUAAAGAAUAAUGGUUGAGGUUAUAUAAAGGAACUCGGCAAAAUGUCUUUUCGCCUGUUUACUAAAAACAUGGCCUUUUGAUUAUAAUUUAAGGUCGCGCCUGCCCACUGAGUAUUUAAAUGGCCGCGGUACUCU
Molecule: ribosomal RNA, 554 nt
Filed under: Tithoes maculatus
Lineage: Eukaryota; Metazoa; Arthropoda; Insecta; Coleoptera; Cerambycidae
Description: partial 16S ribosomal RNA
Source: RNAcentral